GCCGGGGGGCGUCCGGUCCCGGGGCCACCCUGCACAGCUUCCCGCUGUCUGCGCGGAGGUACUCCAACCGCUUCUGCUGCCAGCGCUAAGGGACACAGGACACGGCCAGCUACCCAGGCGGCCUUGGAGACUCGGGGCACAGUGGAGGUACCCCGGUGCUGGGCUCCGAGAAGCCCUCCCUGGAAUCGGCCCCGUUCCGCCUUCCCGACCGGAGCCUCGAGACUCUGAGCGCCACAUUCAACCGCCUGUCGGGGUUGUCUGCGGAAGAAUAGCGGCGCGGGGAAGCCCGGCUGCGGGUAGCUGGCACCCUGACUAUCGCCGCCUCCAGCCCAAACUAGUGGCUCAGCGUCUGCAACUCCCGAAGACGCCCGAGGCGACCGGUGGGAAGGAAAAGCCAACCCCGGACAGAGGUGGCAAAGACUGAAAUAAGUGUCCCCACGGUGUGGCCCACCAACCCCCCCAGCCUCGUGGAAAGAUGGGGAACCCAAAGAAAGGCGUAUAUCCUAAGUGUGGGGAAAAAAAACAAAAACAAAAACAGCUCCAAACCGAGGUUUUUAGCUCCUUAUAAUGCAAGACCCAGCGAUCCUGGGAAGCCUGCGUGCCAGGAGCUUGCUUCCCCGUUUCUUGCACAAAUUAUAAAGUAACCCGCUGUGACUUGGGGGACGCAGAGCAGGCCAGCCCGCCCUGGGGCCCGCGGACCGCUAGCACCAGAAUCCCGGCUCCCAGCAGCAACGUCUCCUGGAAGUUUGGGGUCUCGAAACCCGCCUCUUAAGUUUGGGUUCCACUUGGUUCUGUUGCUCUUCUGGGCGGAAGGAAGCGAACGUAUACAGUCAAGGGCUGCUGCGAUCAUUUGAAUGGUUCUACGCAUUUAGGG
Long non-coding RNA from Bos taurus (domestic cattle), 874 nucleotides. The record is from Ensembl. Lineage: Eukaryota; Metazoa; Chordata; Mammalia; Artiodactyla; Bovidae.